Long non-coding RNA from Eriocheir sinensis (Chinese mitten crab), 1265 nucleotides. RefSeq lists it as uncharacterized. The record is from RefSeq and is a predicted model, not a curated record. The transcript has 3 exons. NCBI's taxonomy places the organism in Eukaryota, Metazoa, Arthropoda, Malacostraca, Decapoda, Varunidae.
AAAGAAUGACCUCACUAAGUUGUAUUCAAAGUCUCAUUAGUAAGGAAGCAUAUAUGAAUUUUCUGAGUCAAUCCAUAUAGUAACUGUUUGGGGUUUUGAUAGGUUAUGUUAGGUUAAGUUUAGGGUAUCUUCAAACACAUGAUAGCCAGCACUUUACAGUAUAAAUCAACAAAGAAUGACCUCACUUAGUUGUAUUGAAAGUCUCAUUAGUAAGGAAGCAUAUAUGAAUUUUCUGAGUCAAGACCUAUAGUAACUGUUAGUGGUUUUGAUAGGUUAUGUUAGGUUAAGUUUAGGGUAUCUUCAAACACAUGAUAGCCAGCACUUUACAGUAUGAAUCAACAAAGAAUGACCUCACUUAGUUGUAUUGAAAGUCUCAUUAGUAAGGAAGCAUAUAUGAAUUUUCUGAGUCAAGACCUAUAGUAACUGUUAGUGGUUUUGAUAGGUUAUGUUAGGUUAAGUUUAGGGUAUCUUCAAACACAUGAUAGCCAGCACUUUACAGUAUGAAUCAACAAAGAAUGACCUCACUUAGUUGUAUUGAAAGUCUCAUUAGUAAGGAAGCAUAUAUGAAUUUUCUGAGACAAGACCUAUAGUAACUGUUUGGGGUUUUGAUAGGUUAUGUUAGGUUAAGUUUAGGGUAUCUUCAAACACAUGAUAGCCAGCACUUUACAGUAUAUAUCAACAAAGAAUGACCUCACUUAGUUGUAUAGAAAGUCUCAUUAGUAAGGAAGCAUAUAUGAAUUUUCUGAGUCAAUCCAUAUAGUAACUGUUAGUGGUUUUGAUAGGUUAUGUUAGGUUAAGUUUAGGGUAUCUUCAAACACAUGAUAGCCAGCACUUUACAGUAUAAAUCAACAAAGAAUGACCUCACUUAGUUGUAUAGAAAGUCUCAUUAGUAAGGAAGCAUAUAUGAAUUUUCUGAGUCAAUCCAUAUAGUAACUGUUUGGGGGUUUGAUAGGUUAUGUUAGGUUAAGUUUAGGGUAUCUUCAAACACAUGAUAGCCAGCACUUUACAGUAUAUAUCAACAAAGAAUGACCUCACUUAGUUGUAUAGAAAGUCUCAUUAGUAAGGAAGCAUAUAUGAAUUUUCUGAGUCAAUCCAUAUAAUAACUGUUUCGGGUUUUGAUAGGUUAUGUUAGGUUAAGUUUAGGGUAUCUUCAAACACAUGAUAGCCAGCACUUUACAGUAUGAAUCAACAAAGAAUGACCUCACUUAGUUGUAUUGAAAGUCUCAUUAGUAAGGAAGCAUAUAUGAAUUUUCUGAGACAAGACC